AGGGAAUCUUCGGCAAUGGGGGCAACCCUGACCGAGCAACGCCGCGUGAGUGAAGAAGGUUUUCGGAUCGUAAAGCUCUGUUGUAAGAGAAGAACGAGUGUGAGAGUGGAAAGUUCACACUGUGACGGUAACUUACCAGAAAGGGACGGCUAACUACGUGCCAGCAGCCGCGGUAAUACGUAGGUCCCGAGCGUUAUCCGGAUUUAUUGGGCGUAAAGCGAGCGCAGGCGGUUAGAUAAGUCUGAAGUUAAAGGCUGUGGCUUAACCAUAGUACGCUUUGGAAACUGUUUAACUUGAGUGCAGAAGGGGAGAGUGGAAUUCCAUGUGUAGCGGUGAAAUGCGUAGAUAUAUGGAGGAACACCGGUGGCGAAAGCGGCUCUCUGGUCUGUAACUGACGCUGAGGCUCGAAAGCGUGGGGAGCAAAC
This 425-nucleotide ribosomal RNA is filed under the name uncultured bacterium. RNAcentral's name for it is "bacterial SSU rRNA". It matches the Rfam family "Bacterial small subunit ribosomal RNA", at positions 356 to 773 of the family's 1533-position model. The record is from RNAcentral.